Molecule: long non-coding RNA, 371 nt
Organism: Oncorhynchus masou masou (cherry salmon)
Lineage: Eukaryota; Metazoa; Chordata; Actinopteri; Salmoniformes; Salmonidae
Exons: 3
Source: RefSeq, a predicted model, not a curated record
GUCAGCUUUUGUGGCUUUUGUGCUAGGAUUGUGUGCAUGUAUGUGUGUUUGUGCGUACAUGCAUCCAUGCCUGCAUGUGUGCGUGUUUGUUUGAGUUUGUGCACACGCGCAUGACUAAUAUUGCUGUGGUGUUCGUGUAUUACAGAGCAAGAAUAUGCCUGUACGGUUCAGUGAAGAAGAGAGGAUGAGAGAACGGAAGAGUCUGUUGAGAGAUUGUUUUCUUCUAUGGAAUGUGGUGAAUCGUGUAUGUGCUCUUUUUGGCUUUGCAGAGUAAAUCCCAGUCCAGGGUAGUCCUCUCCAGGACGUCCACCAGUUUCUCCAGCUUGGUGUUGGCCGUGAAGAUGAAGUCAUCGUCCACCCACAGCACAUAC